UGCAGGUUCCUCCAAGUCCACAAAGAUUUUCCACUUCUCAAAGGUUUGAACUUCAGCCUGCUGAGCUUCAGAGGAAGGAACAACCAUCAGCUUCUGGGAGAGCGUCUUCUGCUGUCUGGGAGGUCUGCAUCACCGGCAGGGAGUGAAGCGACACCCCCACCACAAGCUGAAGGCCAAACCGGGGCAGACGUGAUGGAUCGCUCCGGUUCCUCCGCUGUGAGCUGCAGGAUGGAGUCUGUCUCUUCUUAUAAAAACAUGAGGAACUGUUGAA
Long non-coding RNA from Oryzias melastigma (Indian medaka), 271 nucleotides. RefSeq lists it as uncharacterized. The transcript has 2 exons. NCBI's taxonomy places the organism in Eukaryota, Metazoa, Chordata, Actinopteri, Beloniformes, Adrianichthyidae. The record is from RefSeq and is a predicted model, not a curated record.